CCUACGGGAGGCAGCAGUGAGGAAUAUUGGUCAAUGGACGAGAGUCUGAACCAGCCAAGUAGCGUUAAGGAUGACUGCCCUAUGGGUUGUAAACUUCUUUUAUAUGGGAAUAAAAUGUUCCACGUGUGGGAUUUUGUAUGUACCAUAUGAAUAAGGAUCGGCUAACUCCGUGCCAGCAGCCGCGGUAAUACGGAGGAUCCGAGCGUUAUCCGGAUUUAUUGGGUUUAAAGGGAGCGUAGGUGGAUUGUUAAGUCAGUUGUGAAAGUUUGCGGCUCAACCGUAAAAUUGCAGUUGAAACUGGCAGUCUGGAGUACAGUAGAGGUGGGCGGAAUUCGUGGUGUAGCGGUGAAAUGCUUAGAUAUCACGAAGAACUCCGAUUGCGAAGGCAGCUCACUGGACUGCAACUGACACUGAGGCUCGAAAGUGUGGGUAUCAAACAGGAUUAGAUACCCCUGUAGUC
RNAcentral lists this ribosomal RNA (460 nucleotides) under uncultured bacterium. RNAcentral describes it as "partial 16S ribosomal RNA". It matches the Rfam family "Bacterial small subunit ribosomal RNA", at positions 338 to 795 of the family's 1533-position model. The record is from RNAcentral.